This 248-nucleotide ribosomal RNA is filed under the name uncultured Tintinnida. RNAcentral's name for it is "partial 28S ribosomal RNA". It matches the Rfam family "Eukaryotic large subunit ribosomal RNA", at positions 1 to 250 of the family's 3401-position model. Lineage: Eukaryota; Ciliophora; Spirotrichea; Tintinnida. The record is from RNAcentral.
GCACCUGAGAUGAAGUAGGACCACCCGCUGAACUUAAGCAUAUCAUUAAGCGGAGGAAAAGAAACUAACUAGGAUUCCCUCAGUACGGGCGACGGAAGCGGGAAAAGCCCACAUUGGUAAUCUCCGGGGAGAACCUCGGCGAAUUGUAAUCUGAAGAUAGCUGGCCUAAUUGGGAGAGUCGCAGAAGUGUCCACGAGCGGACCGCCAAAGAGGGUGAGAGCCCCGUCUGUGGUGACGCUCCUACCGGC